CAACUGGACAGCUUUAAACUUCCCACUCAGCAGCUCUGCCCUCUGUGAGUAUGUCUGUUGGGUCACACCUUCUGUGGCCAUGGCUUUUACCAGCUGCAGGACUUGGUUGUCAGAGACUUCACUGCUAACAACAUUUUUGAAGGAACAACUGUCACAAUGGAUCUGCAUGAAGCCAUUCAGGACAAGCAGAGAGGUAGGAAGUCCUUUUUCUUUUCUUGGUGGAACAGCAAGGCCUCUUCAGUUUUCAACUGGUUCUUCUUCUGUGCAACCAACUUUGAUGGCAGCAUCAGACUCCUCACAAAGCACAAAUCCGCAUGUUGCCUUCAAUAAAGGAAAGAUGGCAAGCGAUGAAUUGAUCCACCCGUAUGGGUAAUCUUUCAUGCUUGAAAAGGCCGUGCUUGAUAUUUUUGAAUUCUGCUUCUACGGCGGCUGAGCUUGAGGUGACAUCAGUGGUUUGGAAGAAAGGGCCCAUCACUCCUGUCCACAGUGGUAUUUCUUGCAUAUCUCUGAUGUGAGAGGGACUCCAGAGUUAUCAUUGCCUUCUGCCUCGCUGAGUGCCACAACAGUGAUGGCAUGUAUCAGGUCUUUUGCAUGCUUCAGGGAUUGUGAUUUAAUGAGUUGU
Long non-coding RNA from Melanotaenia boesemani (Boeseman's rainbowfish), 622 nucleotides. RefSeq lists it as uncharacterized. The record is from RefSeq and is a predicted model, not a curated record. NCBI's taxonomy places the organism in Eukaryota, Metazoa, Chordata, Actinopteri, Atheriniformes, Melanotaeniidae. The transcript is spliced from 4 exons.